Molecule: ribosomal RNA, 1331 nt
Filed under: Salmonella enterica subsp. enterica
Lineage: Bacteria; Pseudomonadati; Pseudomonadota; Gammaproteobacteria; Enterobacterales; Enterobacteriaceae
Description: partial 23S ribosomal RNA
Rfam family: Bacterial large subunit ribosomal RNA
Source: RNAcentral
UGCUGGAGGUAUCAGAAGUGCGAAUGCUGACAUAAGUAACGAUAAAGCGGGUGAAAAGCCCGCUCGCCGGAAGACCAAGGGUUCCUGUCCAACGUUAAUCGGGGCAGGGUGAGUCGACCCCUAAGGCGAGGCCGAAAGGCGUAGUCGAUGGGAAACGGGUUAAUAUUCCCGUACUUGGUGUUACUGCGAAGGGGGGACGGAGAAGGCUAUGUUGGCCGGGCGACGGUUGUCCCGGUUUAAGCGUGUAGGUGUGUGUUCCAGGUAAAUCCGGUUCACUUUAACACUGAGGCGUGACGACGAGGCACUACGGUGCUGAAGCAACAAAUGCCCUGCUUCCAGGAAAAGCCUCUAAGCAUCAGGUAACAUCAAAUCGUACCCCAAACCGACACAGGUGGUCAGGUAGAGAAUACCAAGGCGCUUGAGAGAACUCGGGUGAAGGAACUAGGCAAAAUGGUGCCGUAACUUCGGGAGAAGGCACGCUGACACGUAGGUGAAGUGAUUUACUCACGGAGCUGAAGUCAGUCGAAGAUACCAGCUGGCUGCAACUGUUUAUUAAAAACACAGCACUGUGCAAACACGAAAGUGGACGUAUACGGUGUGACGCCUGCCCGGUGCCGGAAGGUUAAUUGAUGGGGUCAGCGCAAGCGAAGCUCCUGAUCGAAGCCCCGGUAAACGGCGGCCGUAACUAUAACGGUCCUAAGGUAGCGAAAUUCCUUGUCGGGUAAGUUCCGACCUGCACGAAUGGCGUAAUGAUGGCCAGGCUGUCUCCACCCGAGACUCAGUGAAAUUGAACUCGCUGUGAAGAUGCAGUGUACCCGCGGCAAGACGGAAAGACCCCGUGAACCUUUACUAUAGCUUGACACUGAACAUUGAGCCUUGAUGUGUAGGAUAGGUGGGAGGCUUUGAAGUGUGGACGCCAGUCUGCAUGGAGCCGACCUUGAAAUACCACCCUUUAAUGUUUGAUGUUCUAACGUGGACCCGUUACCCGGGUUGCGGACAGUGUCUGGUGGGUAGUUUGACUGGGGCGGUCUCCUCCUAAAGAGUAACGGAGGAGCACGAAGGUUGGCUAAUCCUGGUCGGACAUCAGGAGGUUAGUGCAAUGGCAUAAGCCAGCUUGACUGCGAGCGUGACGGCGCGAGCAGGUGCGAAAGCAGGUCAUAGUGAUCCGGUGGUUCUGAAUGGAAGGGCCAUCGCUCAACGGAUAAAAGGUACUCCGGGGAUAACAGGCUGAUACCGCCCAAGAGUUCAUAUCGACGGCGGUGUUUGGCACCUCGAUGUCGGCUCAUCACAUCCUGGGGCUGAAGUAGGUCCCAAGGGUAUGGCUGUUCGCC